This is a long non-coding RNA of Cyprinus carpio (common carp), 828 nucleotides long. RefSeq lists it as uncharacterized. The transcript has 3 exons. The record is from RefSeq and is a predicted model, not a curated record. NCBI's taxonomy places the organism in Eukaryota, Metazoa, Chordata, Actinopteri, Cypriniformes, Cyprinidae.
UGAUAACACAUGAUAAAAUGAAGUUCAGCUGUAGUUAAUGUAGCUGAAAAUAUGUUACAAGUACAUCUGUCUAUUUAUAAAGCAAAAUAUCUUAAGAUUUCUGAUAAAACGGAUAUAAGGCCUGUUAUUAAACUACAUUAAAGACGCUGUCUCGAAUACUUGAUUCUGAUUGGUUAAUCACAGGCGGGCCUGCAAAUAUUUCCGUUACCAUGAAUCCGUCCAGAAAACGUGUGUGUCCUUAGCGGGUUUUGCAAAUAAUUUCAAUUAGAUUAUAUUUUGCAUGUAAUACUUGAUAUAUUUUUAUUAAUUUCUAUAUUUGUUUGUUGUCAGGCGAAGUAGCCUAUAAUACGUGGGACAGCGUAGAGUCAUGAUGGCAGUUGGUAAUUUUAGCAAAAUAAAAAAACAAAAACAAAAAAAACAUCCCUGUCGCGGUUUAUUUGGCGAUAACCCCCGACUGACUGUACGUUACCCCGUACCUGCACCCCACCGACGCAAAGUAGUGACGUUCUUCAGGAAAACUCGACAGAGCAAAGCUGUCCUUGUGACGACUGACAGCGUGAACCAGAAACCCAGCUAACUGCUUCUCCAGCAGCUCCACAACAGCUUUGGCAUCUCCCUUCCUCGCAGGGCCUUCCAUCAUCUGCUUUACGCUCUCGUUGGGCACAGGCUGAGGGUUGCUGCUGAACGAGACCACCAGGAAGUCCAGCAGUUCCUUGGUCGUUUCCUGAAGGUUCCCGUUUCCUUUCUCCUUCACAAGCCUCUUGAUGUCCAGUUCAGCUUGCUCUGGAAACGAAUCCACACAUCUUUCUAUCGUUUCCUUCAUUUUUG